AUGUUACUGUGAGUGGGUUUUAUUUUAAAGACCCUACAAGCAAUAACUUUGUCUUAGUGGAUAAUGAUUUUAGUUUACUAAAGCUUAUAGAUGACCUUGGUGAUGGUAACUUUUUGGACUUGUAUGUUGAACAUGUUGUGGAUGAGCUAGAGGUUGUUAAAGAUGGUGUCCCUACAGGUUAUCUUUGCGGGCCAACAAUUGGUGAAAGUGUUAAUGAGAAUGGGGUAGAAAACUCACAUAAUAUUAAUGUGGAUUAAGAGGACCAAUAAAGAGCUGCGCAAUCUGAGAAUACUGAUAUUAAAGUUGGUGUGGAUGAAGGGUUCCAACAAGGAGAUACCAAAUAUGAGAAUAUUAAUGCUGAAGUUGGUGUAGAUGAUACAUCAGAUCUUGAAGGUGUUGAAACUAAUUGGGAUUGCAGUGAUGAUUCACAAGAGUAUUUUAUUCCAGAUGAAGAUGAUUCGAAAAUUGAUGAAGAGUUGAGAAAUUUUAAAAAUGAAAGGAGAAUAAAAUUGCAGGAAAAAAACUAAUUCCUACAGAGGAAAUAAUUCUUGGAGUAGCUAAUGUAAAUAGGGGAUUUGAAGACAUUGGAAGAAACAAAACUGCUAGGUAUGAAGGAAGAUUGGGGGAGAGGAACAAUAUAUUGAUAGUUCAGAACUGGAUAGUGAUGAUAGUAGGGAUGAAUUAGAUCCUGAAGUUGAGGAAAUCUAGAAAAAAAAAGUAAAAAGGUUAGAUUUGAUCCUGAUUGUGUAGUUGUUAUAUUUGAGCUUGGUAUGGUAUUUGAAAAUGCUAUAGAAUUCAGAAAAGUUGUAGCAGAGUAUGCUGUGGCAUAUAAAGUCAAAUUAAAAUUGAGGCCUAAUGAAAAACAUAAAGUCAGAGUUAAAUGCCAACAUAAGAAAUGCAAAUGGCUGUUAUAUGCUAGUCUAAACAAAGACUCUGGUGACUUUAUUGUUAAAAACUACUAUCCUGUUUAUCAGUGCCUACCACAACCAAAAACAAGUUGUAUACAUUUAACUUUAUUGCAAAUAAGUUUAGGGAUAAAAUAGUUUCUCAAUCUCAUAUAAAAUUGUGGAAAAUUCAUGAGUUGGUGAGGAAGAAGACAAGAUUGUAUGUUGGAAGAACUCUUUGUUAUAUAGCAAAAUUGAUGAUUCUUAAGGAGUUUAUGGGUGAUUGGAAGAUGGAGUUUGCAAAGUUGUGUGAUUAUGCAAACAUGAUAAAACAAACUAAUCUUGGUAGUUCAUGUUGGGUAAGGAAAGACAGGGAAUCUACUCCAUGAAAGAAUAUGUUUGUUUACUUUUAUGUUUGUUUUGAUGCAUUAAAGAGAGGUUGGUUUGAAUGAUGUAGAAUAAUAAUUGUGUUUGAUGGAUGUUUUCUGAAGGGUACUUACAAGGGUGAAUUAUUGGUUGUAGUUGGUAGAAAUAAAAAUCAACAAAUGUUUCCAAUUGCUUGGGUAGUUGUUGAUCAAGAAACAAAGCACAAUUGGAGUUUCUUCAUCAAUUUCUUGAUACAAGAUCUAAACUUAGGCACCGGACAUGUAUUGAUUGUGAUAUCUGAUAUGCAAAAUGGUCUUGUAGCAGCGUAAUGAAGUAGGUGCCAAAUUGUGAGCAGAGGGUAUGUGCUAGACACAUCUGGUCCAAUUGGCAGAAGACCUAGAGAGGAGAAUAAAGAAGAAAACAAUUCCGGAGAUGUGCAAAAUCAAGUUUUGAGCUUGGAAGCUCACCCAGCCUGGACCUGGAAGGUCAAGCCAACGUGCUAGCUCAUGUCAGCUUGGAAGCUCACCCAGCCUGGACCUGGAAGGUCAAGCCAACCUGCUAGCUCAUGUCAGCCUCAAAGCUCAAGGCAACCUGCAUGCUCAAGGCAACCUGUAGGUAUUGGCCAACCACCAAGCUCAGGACAACAUGUAGGUUCAAGCCAUCCACCUCAUGGUAACCAUUACAACAUGUCAACUCAGGCCACAAUCAACCUCUAUUUGUGAUGAUACUUCAAUUGUUGGAAGAGUUUAAUAAGCUGAAAGAGGUAGGGGAGAAGGUAGGGGGAGAGGAGGUGAUGAUACUUCAAUUGUUACAAAAGGGCAACAAGCAGGAAGAUGUAUGGGAAGAGAAGGAGAAUCAACAUCAACAGGAGGAAACAAAAGGCCUAAGACUGUUGGAUUUUCAAUCUACAUUGAUGAUAAAAAUGACAAAAAAAAUUAAAUGUAAAGAGUUUUUACUCCAGUUGUUUUCAAGUGUGCAGCACCAACCAACAUUGAUAUUGAUUAUAAGCCUCGUGGACUGAAAUGGAAGGUUAAAUAUGGUGUCACCAAUUCACAAUUACAACGCAAGUCAAAAGGGGUGGAUCUGCAAAUGUCUAGUGCAACAAAAACAAGAACAUGGGUGUGACUACUUUAAUGUGUAUUGGGUGUUUUUGAUGUACACUUGGGGCUUGUUUAAUUUUGAGUCUGUAAUGCACGCAGAAAAAAAUACUAAGACUACUUUAAUAUGUUUUUGAUGUAAAUUAUAACUAAUGAUUUAACUGUGGAUUUUCUUGAAAGGAAAUACAAAGAUUUUUUUGUCGAUAA
Solanum lycopersicum (tomato) is the source of this 2554-nucleotide non-coding RNA. The record is from RefSeq and is a predicted model, not a curated record. Lineage: Eukaryota; Viridiplantae; Streptophyta; Magnoliopsida; Solanales; Solanaceae.